UGAGGUGUAGCUCAGUGGUAGAGUGCUUGCCUAUCAUAUGUGAAGCCCUGGGUUCUACCCUUAGUACUUCAA
This 72-nucleotide transfer RNA is filed under the name Heterocephalus glaber (naked mole-rat). It matches the Rfam family "tRNA". Rfam says of the family: Transfer RNA (tRNA) molecules are approximately 80 nucleotides in length. Lineage: Eukaryota; Metazoa; Chordata; Mammalia; Rodentia; Bathyergidae. The record is from Rfam by way of RNAcentral.